AUUGAACGCUGGCGGCAUGCUUUACACAUGCAAGUCGAACGGUAACAGGCCUUCGGGUGCUGACGAGUGGCGAACGGGUGAGUAAUGCAUCGGAACGUACCCAGAGGUGGGGGAUAACGCAGCGAAAGCUGUGCUAAUACCGCAUGUGAUCUGAGGAUGAAAGCGGGGGACCGAGCAGCAAUGUUUGGCCUCGCGCCUUUGGAGCGGCCGAUGUCGGAUUAGCUAGUUGGUGGGGUAAAGGCCUACCAAGGCGACGAUCCGUAGCUGGUCUGAGAGGACGACCAGCCACACUGGGACUGAGACACGGCCCAGACUCCUACGGGAGGCGGCAGUGGGGAAUUUUGGACAAUGGGCGCAAGCCUGAUCCAGCAAUGCCGCGUGCGGGAGGAAGGCCUUCGGGUUGUAAACCGCUUUUGGCAGGAACGAAACGGUGUCCGCUAAUACCGGGCGCUAAUGACGGUACCUGCAGAAUAAGCACCGGCUAACUACGUG
RNAcentral lists this ribosomal RNA (492 nucleotides) under uncultured bacterium. RNAcentral describes it as "partial 16S ribosomal RNA". It matches the Rfam family "Bacterial small subunit ribosomal RNA", at positions 29 to 507 of the family's 1533-position model. The record is from RNAcentral.